Non-coding RNA from Paralichthys olivaceus (Japanese flounder), 250 nucleotides. The record is from RefSeq and is a predicted model, not a curated record. NCBI's taxonomy places the organism in Eukaryota, Metazoa, Chordata, Actinopteri, Pleuronectiformes, Paralichthyidae.
CACAACGUGGACUGAAGACCCUGAGACGUGCUGCAGGCCUCAGAGACGCAAGCACACAAUGGUCUCAUGCCUGGAGUCUGCAGCAGCUUGGAGAAAAUGUCUCCCUGAAGUGCCCUUCCCAGGGAUCUGCUCGGUCUCGGUUCAGCUCAAGACCGACUGACUCACACCUGGAGAACCAGCCGCGAGUAGCAUCAUCAUCACUAUGACCUGACAUCAGAUGGCCUGCCGAAGAGAAGCAGUCCCAGCCGUC